Molecule: ribosomal RNA, 253 nt
Filed under: uncultured bacterium
Lineage: Bacteria
Description: partial 16S ribosomal RNA
Rfam family: Bacterial small subunit ribosomal RNA
Source: RNAcentral
UACGUAGGGUGCGAGCGUUGUCCGGAAUUGUUGGGCGUAAAGGGCUCGUAGGCGGUUUGUCGCGUCGGGAGUGAAAUCCACUGGCUUAACUGGUGGCUUGCUUUCGAUACGGGCAGACUGGAGGUAUGCAGGGGAGAACGGAAUUCCUGGUGUAGCGGUGAAAUGCGCAGAUAUCAGGAGGAACACCGGUGGCGAAGGCGGUUCUCUGGGCAUGUCCUGACGCUGAGGAGCGAAAGUGUGGGGAGCGAACAGG